UAAGUACUCCCUCCGUUCGAAAAUACUUGUCAGAGAAAUGCUUAAAAAUGGAUGUAUCUAGAACUAAAAUAUGUCUAGAUACAUCCAUUCCUCCGACAAGUAUUUCCGGACGGAGGGAGUAUAUU
Triticum aestivum (bread wheat) is the source of this 125-nucleotide non-coding RNA. Lineage: Eukaryota; Viridiplantae; Streptophyta; Magnoliopsida; Poales; Poaceae. The record is from Rfam.